Molecule: long non-coding RNA, 2307 nt
Organism: Diceros bicornis minor
Lineage: Eukaryota; Metazoa; Chordata; Mammalia; Perissodactyla; Rhinocerotidae
Exons: 3
Source: RefSeq, a predicted model, not a curated record
UGUAUUUGGUAAUGCAGACAAAUGUUUACAUUAUUGCAGAAAGUUCUCUUGGACAGGACCCAGAAGCAGGGAAUCUAGAAUCAGGGUAGAAUUCCAGACACCCUUGAUCAUCCUUUGGGUCCUUCCAGGUCUGUCCCCCACAGUAACCACACUGGAGUGGACUCACUGUGUACCUUGCCGCCUUGGCACAGAGACUGGACAGAGUUGCCAUCUAUGAGGAAUUCCUGUGGCUGACCCAGAAUGGUACCCAGCUGCAGAACUUGACCCUGGACAGGAAGAGUGUCCUUGGGGAUGAAUAUUCUCCCAACAGAGAUGACACCUUGACUGAGAAGCCUGGUAAACCUGCAGGAAGCCCCAGCCCACGGUAGGGGGCGAGUAUCUUGAUGCUGUGCCUCAUCGAAGAGAACCAUGCGCACAGGGUCUUGGAUGAUGAGGAAAGUUGGCCAACCCUUGUCAAGGAUGGUUGAGGCACAGUGGGGUCAGCAGGAGCCCUGGGGCAAUGACAGGAGGUGGCUCAUCCCAGCACUUGUCUCCGCAGACCACCCCGUCUGGGCUCUCAUCCUCAUCUGCUUGGCGGGAAUCCUGGUGCUCAUCACAGGCCUCAUCUGCUGUCUCCUGGAAAACAUUUUAACCCUGCUGUUCCCAUGAUGUCACAAGGACUAGAGUGUUGGGGAGGACUGAGAGCACACUCUUCCUCUGGAGUAUGUUAGACUCUAAGGGUCCAUGACACAGGAGUGGGGAACAUUUCAUUCAUCGAGGAUUGAGCCUCUCGUGCUGGGUGUUGAAAGAAACACCAGUGACGUCCCCGUGUAUUCACGUGGAGUAUCUGACAGUCAGUCAUUGCAGGAUUACAGAAGGAAGGGCAGUUCAGAGGGGAGGCCCCGUGGAGGCAGGCAUGGAGGAGCGCGUGGUGACUGACACCGAGAGCUUGUGACCCGGGCAGGUGGCAGACUCUGUUCGGUCAGAAGACUCUGCCGACUGCAGUGCAUAGAAAUCCACGUCCGUCCACGGGAAGUCGCAGGACGAGAACACCGCUGACAGGAAGUCACCUGUCAGAGCGUGCGGCACGAGUGGUGAGAAUGUUGAGUCUGAACCAAGGUCGUGGUGUCACAGUGGUGGAAAGGCCACUGGAGGUGAAAGAAGCAGACCCAGAGUCAUUUCCAAGAACAAACUGGAAGGUUUAUGGGACCAAUUAGGCAGAGAUCCUGAGGAGGAGAGGUGAAGAUGUGCAGUGGUUUCCGGCCAGGAAGAAGAGUGUUCCAUGGACGGUGAGGACAGAUGCGUGCUGGGCUUCUCUGAGGGCUGGGAAGACGCACGGGGAGCUUGAUUUUAGACAUGACACAAGUUCAGUGAUGGUGCUCAACACACAUGCGCCAAGGCGUGUCUCUCACACACACACAGCCUAAGAACAGAGUCCAUGAUCAUGGCACAGCCAGAGUGGGCACGACACUGUCGCCACUGACACAGGCAGGGUGAGGGGGUUGGGCCUGUCAGGUGUUCUGAGGAGAAGUCGGCCGGCCUGAGAGUGCUGGAAGGUGCUCAAUUCUCAUCAAGAGGAGGGCCGGUUUCAGAGAUGAGAAGAGAGAGCUGGAGAGGGGAGAGCAGAGUCAGGAAAGGGCGGUGAACCAUGAAGCCGAGCAAGGAGGGUCCCUGUGGGGCCACACGUUUCCCAGAGGCCUGAUAGGGUCAGAACGUUAGGGGCUUCCUCGGAGAUCUCACUCUCCACGGAAUGGUGAGCGCAGAGGUCAAGGGCAGGAUGGAAUAAGGGAUGCACGGCGAGGCCUUAGUGACUGCUGCCCUGAUGUACGGGAAGAAAGGCUUCCAGGUCACGCCCAGGCCCCACCAGAUGUGUGCCGGCUGUGUGACAGGAGGCGGCAGGAGGAAGAGAGGGGUGAGCACUGAUAUGGCAGUCAGAACUCCAAGGCUCAGCGAACAGGUGGCCCCAGAGAAGAGGAGAGGAGACUUCCUCCUGGAAGGACGUGCACAGGGAGAAGCUAAGGCCUGUCCUUGCAGGGGCUGGGCGUUAGUGUGCAAUCUCAUCGGUUUUGGGGAGUGAAUGUGUGUUUCUGGAGCACGCACAACAUGCCGGGUGCUGUGUGGCAUCUGGAUGAAAACACUGAACUGACGCAGGCGCAGGUCCUCACAGGGGCUGGCAGGGGAGACAGACCUGCCGGGAGGCACGGGCAGCAGGCCCAGGCGGGGGGAGGGCAGGCCUCCACUGCAGGCCGGGAGGUAGCAGGAGGAGCCCACAGAGCCAGCCUCACCCACACAAGGACCGGGAGAUGAGAAGAAUAUAGGAGAAGACAG